RNAcentral lists this transfer RNA (98 nucleotides) under Fusarium piperis. It matches the Rfam family "tRNA". Rfam says of the family: Transfer RNA (tRNA) molecules are approximately 80 nucleotides in length. Their secondary structure includes four short double-helical elements and three loops (D, anti-codon, and T loops). The record is from Rfam by way of RNAcentral. Lineage: Eukaryota; Fungi; Ascomycota; Sordariomycetes; Hypocreales; Nectriaceae.
GGGCGAAUGGUUUAGUGGUAUAAUACUCCCUUAGCAUGAUUCAUCUGGAUGAUUCAGGCACUUGGGAGUGGUCCAGGGUUCGAUUCCCUGUUCGUCCA